RNAcentral lists this transfer RNA (51 nucleotides) under Parkia speciosa. RNAcentral's name for it is "partial tRNA-Leu". Lineage: Eukaryota; Viridiplantae; Streptophyta; Magnoliopsida; Fabales; Fabaceae. The record is from RNAcentral.
AAAAUCCGUNGAACUUUAGAAAUCGUGAGGGUUCAAGUCCCUCUAUCCCCA